RNAcentral lists this long non-coding RNA (13233 nucleotides) under Prunus persica (peach). Its description in RNAcentral is "long non-coding RNA (PPER_LNC000058)". Lineage: Eukaryota; Viridiplantae; Streptophyta; Magnoliopsida; Rosales; Rosaceae. The record is from RNAcentral.
UUUAUUAGGAGGACAUCUACAUAAAAACGUGGCUUAUAGAUAAGAAAGGAGCCUCAAAUACCGCAUCAGCUCUUAUUUUAGUGUAAGAUAUUUUACUACAUUUUAUUAUGGCCUUGUUCAAUUGCAUGCUUGCAACGAGAGAUUGCCAUUACAAGAUUACACAAACAGAUAUAGUACCGACAUUGUUGUCCAAACAUCCGGGCCUGAUACGGCUGUACGUCCUACCAUUCAUUUUAGCUAAGCCCUUCAAGUAGUCAACGUCCUCUUCCGAAAUCUUAGCUCUGAUUUUAACGAGGCGUGGGUCGUUCUGAUCAAUUCUUUUGUUGGAGUUGACAAAUCCCUUCAAGUAGUCAAAGUCCUCCACAGAGAUCUUAGCUUGAAUUUUAGCGAUGCGCGAUUCGUCCACAUUAAAUGUUUAACAAGGAAUUCAAGGCUUGUUUUGUAAGUUCUGUAUUUUUUUCCGAUCAAUGGAGAAGGAAAGGGAGCUCUUCUAACGGUGAGAAGAGCAAUGCAACUUGGUUGAUAGCUUGAAAGAUGGAUGGUGGGAAGUCUAAGUAGUAAUUCCUAUAACUUCAAAGACAAUCCAUUCUUGUGAUAUUGCAUGUUUAAAAAAGUUGAAAGCACUAUUAAUUGAAUUGGAUAAGGAUAAUGAAGUUGACAUAGCUUUUCAGAGACAGAUUCUAUAUUGAUCAUAAUAUUCACAUAUUAAAUUCGAAUUCCAUAUAUAUAUGUAUAAUGAAGUUGAUAAAUCUUUUGGAAAGGAUAGAUCCAUAUCUAAUAUAUUCCUCAUUGAAGUUACUACUAUAGGUCCCCAAUACUGAUUAGAAUCUUUCUAUUAUAUCAAGAAUUCACCACUUAUUUCGUGAGUGUUGUCCUUAUAUGGAUAGUGGGAAGGUUAAUUAGCUUUGCGAGUAGUUUCAAAAUUCCUUGUCACACUUCAGAUCCGCAAUAGAGUAAAAUUUUGUGUCCCAUGCCUGAUGAUAAAGUAAAUAACAAUUUAAAACCAAAAGAUAAACUUUCUUAUAGAAUAACCAAAAACAUCUAUAAAAACGUCUUCCUCUUGACAUCUCUGUUUUGAGAUAUCCAAGGAUAGAGAUUAUAAUAUCGGUGAGCCCCUCAAUGGAAAUCCAAUCCUUGUUAAUAGAAUUCUUUCGCAUAACAUUUUGCAUUUGGCUAAAGGCAUCUAACAUGGAUGUCUCAACACCUGAUAACAACUUUGUCUUGGAAGAUCUUAUCUUGAGGCAGUAAUUAAGUUCUCCCCACUCGUCUAUUGAUUGCCUCAAUGGAAGGUUACCUCUCCAUGAAGUAUCUUCAAGAACCUUAUGUGUUUCAACGACUAACUAAUUUAAUCCAACAGUUAAGAGAUAGGACCUCACCUAAGAUCCAUAUAUAAGGCCCUCACUAUAGAAUUCUUGCCCUUAGCCAACUCCUCCUAUAUCAAAAGCUACUGGCCAGGCAAAGCCACCUCAGACUAUUAGGAAAGAUGCCUUUGGUUCAUUGAUAAACAAAGGCCACAAUUCUUCUGGUGGGCGGGAGAGAGUCAUCAACGAUAUAAAAGAUCCUAAUCUAUAUUUUUUCAGCUACAAAUGUACACUAACUUUUUAUUUUUAAUGAAAUGGCGAGGAAAAUUCUAUCUUGGGGUAUGUCGAAAUAAUAUUAUUAAGACCUAGUUGGUAUUGGCUGUUUGAUGUCAGAUAUCAAAUUAUAAACGCAAAGUUACAUUGUGUACUCUUAUUAAGUACGUGGAAUGUUCAUUGUGACUUUAUGCAACUUAUCUUGGAUAGUGGUGCAAUUGAGCCUUAAUAUUUAUGUAGUGUGUGUGAACUUAGUAUAUUAUUGCUCCAUCUCAAUAGGAAAAGUUCACAUCAUGGUAUUUACCAAAAAAUAAGAAAGGUCCUUUAAAAAAAAAAUUUCCUAACCAAAAUCAUUAUUGCAUCCAAUAUAAAUGGUUUUUAAUCAACCGAUUAGGCACAGUAAAGCCAGAUAUUGAAAUCCACCUUGCUACUUUUACAUUCUCACUCAAACACAACUCAGAUAUUGUAACAUACUAACAUGUUUGGCCACUUUUCAAAUACAUCCACGCUUUUAUGAUAUUAAAACAAACAUAAUUUACAUUACAUCCUGGGCCAAAAAAAAUUUUAUUUUAUACUUAACCAAAAUAAUGUAAUAUGUAAAAUAAACUAAUAAAUUUCUUAUUUUGUGUAUUUAUCUUAUAAAUUAAGUUAAUUUUUUUCAAUAAUCUCUAAUCUUAAUUUGUGAUAGAAGUCAUACAUUUUGAUUAAGAAAAUUUUAAGACUUUAAAAAAAAAAUUCUAUAAAUAAAUAAUAAUAAAAAACUAGCAUAUUAGGCACAUAGCAGUCUGCCCCGGCCAGUUAGGCACAUCUAGACCCAGCCGGCCCUUUGAAACCUUGUUCCAGCCUGCCCCGAAUCCAACUAGAACCCAAAAAUUUCAGACCAGGCCGACGAACCCCACAUCAGGAUACUUGAAAAUGUUUUUGGCACCCGCUAUAUUCUUCUAUGGUGUUUAAUUAAUUUCUUUUUAAAAUUAAGAAUACUUGUAUUUGAACCCAUUAUUUCUCUAUUUAUUUCCAUAUUUAUAGGAUCCAGAGGGCUAAAUAGCUCUUGUAAAGCAUGUAAAUAUAUAGUGCGCACCCAUUAUUUCUCACAAACAUAAACAUUUGUGUUACGAUUAAGCAACUAUUUGAGAAAGAAAAAGAAAAUCCAUUAAAUCUCUUGGUUUGCACUAGAGACAAAAUCUGUUUCCAUUGACAUAAUCUAGAAAGUUCUCCAUUAUUUUAUUAGAAGUACACUUACAUAAAAACGUGGCGUAGAGCCCCCCUAGCCAAGGAAGAAGCCACAGAUACUGCAUCGGCUCUUAUUUUAGUGUAGAUAUUUUAUUGUGGUACACACAUAUUAAUUAUUUAUUAUGGCCUUCUUCAGUUGCGUGCAUGCAACGAGAGAUUGCCAUUACAGGAAUACACAGCCACCGAUAGUGACGUUAUUGUCAAAACCUCCGGGAGGUGCCCGGAAACAGUUGGCCGUAUGGCUAUUUCCAAAACUUCCGGGACGGGCCCCAAAACAGCUGGCCGUCCUAACAUUAUUGUUAGCGAGGCCCGUGUUGUUUACACUAAAUCUUUUGUUGGCAAGACCCUUCAAGUAGUCAACAUCUUCCUUCGAGAUCUUAGCUUUGAUUUUAACGAGGCGUGGGUCGUUCUCAUCAAUUCUUUUGUUGGAGUUGGCAAAUCCCUUCAAGUAGUCAAAGUCCUCUACAGAGAUCUUAGCUUUGAUUUUAGUGAGGCGUGAUUCGCCCACAUCAAAUCUGUUGUUGGAGUUGGGGAUGGGAAAUCCCCUCAACUGAUUACGGCCCGUAGCUUUGAUUUGAUCAUUCCCACCCCAAAUUCCAAUAGAUUUGGGGUUGAUUUGAUCGUCCCCACCCCUAAACCCUAAAUAACCUUGGUUGUCGAAGUUGGUUUGAUCUUGAUUCGACUUUAUUAUCUCUGUCAGUCCCGUAAACCCUGAAUAGCCUUGGUUGCCGAAGUUGGUUUGAUCUUUAUUUGACGUCAUUGUCUCUCUCACUGAUUAGUUUUUAGGUUAUGGUGUGUGUUUGCUCUGAUGACCAACUCAUUGCCUCAUGGUUGGUCUCCUUUUAUAGUUGUUUGCAUAGACAGAUUCUAUACAUUUUAUCUUCUUGGAAUAAUAUUCUACAAUGAUAGACAGUACAGUCGUAGUGGCCUUUCUUGUUAGAGGAUCUUUUUAACCCUUUUCACAAACACUUGGCAAUACAUCUCACUCAAGUUACUCAUGACUCUAUACAGUGGCGGAUUGUUUAGGCUAAACUGUUAAGGCAUUUUUGUAGAACAAAUGAGUCAUUUCCUAUCCAAUUAUUAUUUUUUAAAUAUAAAAAUAAUAAUAAUUUUAAAAUAAAAACACACACACUAAUACUCUACAAUGAACCCCAACCUACCCUAGAAACUCUUUGUCUAAUAAGCAGAACAAGAAGGUUUUUUAUUUUUUUAUUUAUUUUUUUUGAGAACCCCUUUAUAGAUAAAUUCAUCACUAAAAUUUAAGAUUUUGAGCUAUCUCUUCUUCCUUUUCUUUCUAUGUCUUUUAAGAUUUCCAGAUAAUUGUUUCCUACGUAUCAUUUUUAAUUUCCAAAUAAAAAUCACAAUAAUCACAUCAACACAUAAUAAAGCAAGAAACAAUAAUAAUAAAUCAACUUUUUAGAGCAAUAAUUUGAUUAAAGGAUCAAUGAACAAUAAAACCUGGAUUUGUGUGCUUGCUUGCGUAAUGAAAUGAACAUAUUUUCAAUUACCAAAAAAAUAAAUGAACAUAUUUUUGAGUUAGACGUAGACCAGCCUAUUUGACCCAAAAAAAAAAAAAAAAAAAGACUUGGACAUUGGCCUACUUUUCUUUAUUUUAUUUUGGCUUAUUAUCACAAAACGCCCUUAAGGUUUAUGAAACUAUCAGAUUGCAUUCUUAAUGUUUUUUUUGUGUCAUUUGUGGUUCUCAAGGUUAGUAUGUAUGAUCACAAAUGGUCCCUGCCGUUAGGUUAUGCAAAAAACUCCAUUAGUUUGCUGACGUGACAUAUAUAUAUAUCACAAAACAUCCCUGAGGUUCACGCACCUAUUACAAAUGGUCCUUACGAAUUUUUUUAAUUUUUAAAAUUUAAAAUUCAUAAAAUUUUUGUUUUCUUUUUAAAAUUUUAUGAAUUUAAAUUAUCUUCAAACAUAUAUUAUAUUUUAAAUACAUGUGACACUAUAUUAUUGUAGAUGUGGGCUCCAUAUUUAUGCCACAUCAACAAACUAAUGGAGUUUUUAAAAAAUAAUUUAAAAUUUAUAAAAUUUAAAAAUGAAAAAACUAAGGUUUUAGUGUUCAUAAAUGGUCCUCAAGAUUAAAAUCCUUCUAUAAAUGGUUUUUUCAUUUAUAAAUAAUUUUAACAAGAAAACCAAAAUUUUAUGAAUUUAAAUUAAAAAAUAAAAAAAAUCGUAGAGACCAUUUGUGAUAGGUGUGUGAACCUUAGGGAUGUUUUGUGAUAUAUAUGUAUGCCACGUCAGCAAACUAACGGAGUUUUUGACGGAAUCUAACGGCAGAGACUAUUUGUGAUUGCACAUACUAACCUUGAGGACUAUGAGUGACACAAAAAAAGUUAAGGAUGCAAUCUAAUAGUUUCGUAAACCUUAGAGGCGUUUUGUGAUAAUAAGCCUUUUAUUUUUUUAGUUUUUUGUUGCUACAACUACAUGCCCAUCACUUUGCGCUUAGUGUUGCAUCAGUAUCUGGCCUACCACUUUUUGUUUUUUAAGUUUUUUGUUGCAGCAAAGGCUGCUUUCUCCACUGCCUUUCUAGCCUUUCGUCGAGCAUCUUGUGUGCAUUUGAGGUGCCCGAGCUUCUCGUCAUGGGGUUGUCUCAGACCUCCAUAGGCUGUCCACAGACACAUUUUCGGCCAUCUCAUGGGAUCAUGUGACCCCUCUUGUCCCUGAAUGGGUCUGCCCCUGACUCUAUAUGUACAGUCAGCAGGCUUCACAUGUAUUUAACAUGUUAGUUGUUAGAAACUGUUAAGAGUUUGUUAGUUUGUUAAUAGCUUACUUAAGCUUUAAGUAAGCAUACUAUAAGUAUGCUAAUGUAUACUGUAAUUCAUUCUUAACAAAUAUGCAAAUCAGAAUAUACUUCUUCUUCUUUGAUUUCUCUCUGCCUUUUCUCUACUUUCUCUAGCUUCCUUCAAUUCUAGUCUCUGUGAAAUCUUUGAUCCGUCAUCAGUUACUACUGUGCGUAGAUUGUCAAUCCUCAGUAAUGGAUUAGCUAAUGUUUAACAAGGAAUUCAAGGCUUAUUUUGUAAGUUUUUUUUUUUUUUUUUUUUUUUUCCGAACAAUGGAGAAGGGAAGGGAGCUCUUCUAACAGUGAGAAGAGCAAUGCAACUUGGUUGAUAGCUUGAAAGAUGGAAGGUGGGAAGUCGAACUAGUAAUUCCUAUAACUUCAAGGACAAUCCAUUCUUAUGAUAUUGCAUGUUUAAAAAAGUUGAAAGCAAUAUCAAUUGAAUUCGAUAAGGAUAAUGAAGUUGACAUAGCUUUUUAGAGACAGAUUCUAUAUUGAUCAAAAUAUUCACAUAUUAAAUUCGAAUUCCAUAUAAUGUAUAAUGAAGUUGAUUAAUCUUUUGGAAAGGAUAGAUCCAUAUCUAAUAUAUCCCUUAUUAAAGUUACUACUAUAGGUCCCCAAUCUUGAUUAGAAUCUUUCUAUCAUAUCAAGAAUUCACCACUUAUUUCGUGAGUUGUCCUUAUAUAGAUGGUGGGAAGGUUAAUUAGCUUUGCGAGUAGUUUCAAAAUUCCUUGUCACACUCUAGACCCAGGAUAGAGUAAAAAUCUGUAUCCCGUGCCUGAUGAUAAAGUAAAUAACGAAGGUGUUUUAACGCUAGUUUACAGAGCUUUAGGUCCCGUCAUACACAAGAAGUCUUAAACUACGUUUUCUUUUCGCCUACGUCGUUGUAGUUGAUGGAGUUGCCUGUGCUAAAGAAGCCUGUCUUCACUGAGAUUCUAAGAGAUUCCUCACUCAACUUAAAACCAAAAGAUCAACUUUCUUAUAGAAUAACCAAAACGUCUAUAAAAACAUGAUAUACACUUAUGCUAUAACUUCAGAUCUCCUAACCCUCUAUAGAAAAUUUCCCAUAUUGAAAAACUAACAAACCUUGAAAGGAUUUAUAAGGAGUUGAAUUACUCCCCAUUGCCAGUUGAUUUUGGGGUGAAAGAAGGAUUGGACACUUGAAAUUCUACAAUUGUAAACAAAUCCAGAGCUUUGUCCAACCAUGCAAUAAUAGAUUGUAUACUCAACAAAUUGGCCGCAAUUUUAUUAUAUAAAAAAUAGUAUAGCCGCACGGGGACUAAAUUGGCCAAAUACAAGGACUAUUUUGACAUUUAAGCCUACAUAAUAUACACAUAGGAGGAAGACAUGCAACGAUCAAGACCACUUGCGCCGCAAGUUCCUCUCUAAUUGAUCUUUCACUUUUUUAUUGUCAAUCUAUACAUAAAUAACAUUAGAUGAGACCAAACUUAAACAUAUACUUUUAAAUUUGCACUAAUCAAAUUUUAGCAUAAUUUGGGAACAGUAUACUCACCUUCAAUUUUGAUAGUUUAUCCUUUACUACCUGUCUACUUCAAUUAUCGGAAGAAAACUGUAUCAAAAAUAGUGUCAUCUUCAAAAUUCAAGAGACAAAAGGAAAAUCCUUUCAUUUCUAUAUAAGAAGCCAAGUUUAACAAUAAAACAAUUAAUAAGAAAUUGCUAGAGGAUUAAAGGAACAUUUUCAUAAUUUGCUACCUUAACACUAUGAUAAACACAAUUUUGGGUCUAAAGGGGCCUUAACAAUGUAAAAUAGGAGGACUAUAUGCAAUUGUGUGCUACCUUAACAUUAUGAUAAACACAAUUUUGGGCCUAAAGAGGCUUUAACAAUGUAAAAUAGGAGGACUAUAUGCAAUUGUGUGGUAAUGCAAAAUGGUAAUUUUUUUAAUUUAAGUCUCGUCACAAAUACUAUGUCAAAGAAAGUAGAGGCAUUUUCUAUGUUCUACUACAAUGCAUACAUCAACAUUUGGUUUUGCAUCUUUUUUUUUUUUUUUUGUCGCAUGUAUUUUUAUUUUUAACAUGCUAGCAUCUCCAUUUGCUACACUGUGGACCCAUUCCUGUAUUUUUAUGUAAAAUUAACCAUAUGAAUUCGCCAUUAAAAAUACCUACAAAUACCAUGAUCCUACAUAAAACAGCAAAUGUACUCAUAUCUCAUUAACAUAUUUGAAACUGAAAAUACCUGUAGGAUAUCUAUAUAUGCCUGGAGAAGGUUAAGCAAGCUAAUUCGAAUUUUUGAAAUAAAUAAUGAUCAACCUUUGAAGCAGGAUUGAUAUGAGUUAUCAAUCCUGAGAUGUGCAAAGCUUAAAAUAAAAGAACACGCAGAGAGUUAUUUUACGUGGUAAAACCCCACCUCUGAGGAAAAUCCACGGGACUUCUCAGUCCAACUCAAAUCCACUAUAGAACGAUGAUUACAAGAAGUAUUCACACACUUAUCCUAGACUCAUUCUAGAUAAUGUUUACCAACUUCUUCAUAACUCAACUUCUGUCACGGGAUGAUCUUCGACACUCCUUAUGUUGAACGCAAUACUGGCCACGAUUGCUUCAAGCUCGUCGGAGGAAAACCGCCACCACGGUCUUGGUGCCCUCAACCGUAUGAGUCACCGACAUGCAUAUGAAUGCAAUAUGAAUGAUUAAAGUGUUUGAUAAAUCACCAAGUUAAACAUGGAACACUUGAUGAUUUAACUCAAAUAUAUGCACAACAGCUUUUGCUUAAGAAUUCUAUAUGCUUAACCCAAUAUCAAAAACUGUGCAAAACCAAAGAGAUGCAAGCUGCUUUUAUUCAAAGCUUCCUAUAUCAAGUCAGAUGGCUGCACACGAGUACCAAACCCACUUCAAUUAUAACUAUGAACUUUUAGCUUAAUUUGGAUUCUUAUGAAGACCACAAUUGGUUUUCCAACAUGAAUAUUAUUUCAAUAUGGAUUCUUAUUGAAAAACGCCAACCAACCAAUUUUUAAUAGAAAAACAAUAUCUAUUAAAACAAAUGAAUUAGACCAAUCAAGUAAGAGAAGAUUUCAACCUACAAGUCAUAAUAGGAAAAGAUAAUAUUUUAUUUCAACCUACAAGUCAUAAUAGGAAAAAAUAAUAUUUUAACUUAAAUCAAAAUAGAGUCCAACUAGAAAAGUAAUCUUAAGAGAUAAAGUCUAAUCCUAUUAAAAAUAAGAUUAACAUAAAAAUACUUGAUUGAAAAAAAAACUCAAACUAGGAAUCCUAUAAUGAAUGCAUGAUUGUAUCAUGAUUUACUUGAAAUCAAGUUUCUCAUAUCGGUCAAGUCAAGCCUCGGAUGUAUGGGGUUGAAUGAGUUGUGCCAAAACGUCCAGUAACAAUUCUUUACACACUAAUUUUCAACCUAUGCUAGAGUCUAGGAAAUGACAACACUAUUUUCAUACUAACAGAAACCUUCUCUUCAUACAAUUCUGGUUUACAGAGUGGGGUGAUUUUGUUGAAUAUGAAGACUUAAUGACCAUAUUCAGCUCCUGAAUAAUCAGAUUUCCUCUGUUCUUUCAAUUCUGUAGCAAUCUUUGUUCCCACCUCCUUUAUUUUGUUGUUGAAGUAGUGGAAGCAUUUCAUUGCAUAAAAUCCUAUAACAACUCCCUGCUAAUUGUUACAUCAAUCUUCCUUUGCUGCCAUUGAAUCAAUCUCAUAAAAUUAAAGACUAUUAUUGAUAUGUCACAUGAUUGUAAGGAAGUAUCAGCAUCGUCAUAUAAACAUAGUUAAAAUUCUCAAAUAGUUCAAAAUGCUAAACGAAGAAACAAUAGGUCACUACCAAGAUAAUCAUAUAUAAAAUGUUUACUUGACAAUAAAGAAUAAGAAUCACAGAGACAGAGAAGUACCCAAAGAAAUGUAGUAAUUUAAUGAAAACCACAAAGAGAAUAUGGAUUUAAGGGUAAGAAUACAAUUCACUACGAAAAAUGAAUACAAUCUUGUACUUCUUCAUCCAUUCCAAAUGAAGGCAAAUGGAAAAGGCAAAAUCAAAUUAAGAAAAUCUCUAAGUUGCUUUUGUUCCAAAGAAAGAGUUCAUACAAUGUAUGCAUUAUUUUGCAACUGAUAAUUUUAGGAUAUAUUUAUUGUUUAGAUAAUACUUGUGUUAACAUUAGUUAUUAUUGUCAAGAUGAGAAUGAUGACAUUUUCCUAAUGGUUAUGUGAUAAAGCAAACGAUUAAACAAAUCGAUAGCAAAGAAGAGGACAGAGAAGAAACUGAGGGGAGAAAAUUAAUUGAUAUCCUGUAUAAGAAAUAGCAACGCAAGCAGGAGGACAUAGAAAUGAUAUCUUGUUAAAUUCACUCUCUUGCAUAACAAUAUUAACUGAGGAAGACAAAAGAAUAAACAUGAGUAAAUGAAUUUAUGCAAGAUUGCCCCAGAUAUUUAAAUAUCUGCAAAAAUCAACUCUCUUACAUAGUCUUUCAGCAAACCGUUAGAAAAACCAAAGACAAAAAAAUUAAGCAAAAGAAUAAACUGAAAACAAAAAUUUUAAAGCUGAAAAGAGUGGCUUCGAGGCAUUUGAAAACCACAAUGUAAAAGCUGAAGGAAAAAACAAAUAUUUCAGAAAUAAGUCAAACAAACACACAACCACAAUGAUACACACAAACAUAUUUCAGAAAAAUGUAUACUGUAAUUCAUUCUUAACAAAUAUGCAAAUCAGAAUAUACUUCUUCUUCAUUGAUUUCUCUCUGCCUUUUCUCUACUUUCUCUAGCUUCCUUCAAUUCUAGUCUCUGUGAAAUCUUUGAUCUGUCAUUAGUUACUAUUGUGCGUAGAUUGUCAAAAUCCGCAAUAAUGGGUUAGCUAAUGUUUAACAAGGAAUUCAAGGCUUGCUUUGUAAGUUUUGUUUUUUCUCCAAUCAAUGGAGAAGGAAAGGGAGCUCUUCCAACGGUGAGAAGAGCAAUGCAACUUGGUUGAUAGCUUGAAAGAUGGAUGGUGGGAAGUCUAACUAGUAAUUCCUAUAACUUCAAGGACAAUCCAUUCUUGUGAUAUUGCAUGUUUCAAAAAGUUGAAAGCAAUACUAAUUGAAUUCGAUAAGGAUAAUGAAGUUGACAUAGCUUUUCAGAGACAGAUUCUAUAUUGAUCAUAAUAUUCACAUAUUAAAUUCGAAUUCCAUAUGUAAGUAUAAUGAAGUUGAUAAAUCUUUCGGAAAGGAUAUAUAUCUAAUAUAUUCCUCAUUAAAGUUACUACUAUAGGUCUCCAACACUGAUCAGAAUCUUUCUAUCAUAUCAAGAAUUCACCACUUAUUUCCUCGAGUUGUCCUUAUAUGGAUGGUGGGAAGGUUAAUUAGCUUUGCCCAAAAGAUCAACUUUCUUAUAGAAUAACCAAAAACAUCUCUUUGCUUCCUGCUGGCAGCGUCUUCUUUCUCCUUUCUUCUUUCUGAAAUCUGCUAGCUCUUUGCUUAUUAUCUCCGCCGGCUCUAAAGGCACUCCAACUGCCAUAUCUAUGUCUGUGAGCAUGUCAUUUGCAAAACACUGGUCAAGGGUCUGAUCUUUAAGACCCUGGUUUAGCAAAUUAUAGAUAAUAAUCUCAUUCUUAGGGCAUCACCAAUGCGGGGGUCUAUAAGGGGAUGUAUGUUAAAUUUACAUCCGUUGUGAUCGGAAUCACCCGCAAUGGGGGAUGUAAAUGGACGUAUAAUUACAUCACCACCAUGAGAUGAAAAUAUAGAUGCAAUUGUACAUCUAUUUUUACAUCUCUUGCAGGUGGGACCCAGUUGGGAAAAUAAAGAAAAAAUAGAGAAAAGUCAGCAUAAAAAGUGAGACCCACGGUUACAGUAAUUUCUAGAAGAAAAAAAAAUCACCUGUUGUUUGCUCAUUUGUGGUUUUCAUGCUCCCCCAAUGUUUUUGGAUGAAAUCAUAUCUUCUCCGAAUUUAAAUAUUUUUAUAUACAAAAAAAAUUAAUUUUAUAAAGUAAACACAAAAACGAAUUAAGACAAACAAAACAAUUAUACAUCUUAGAUUUACAUCUUUUUGGAGCAAAAAAACGUAUUACACCCCCCGAAGAUUUAAAGAGAAUGUAAAAGUGGCUUUACACCCCCCAUUAGUUAUGCUCUUACAGACACACAAAUAUUCAUGUACAUUGCUACAAAUUUCGGGAGGGAAAAGUUAACAAAUCUUUCAUCUCUCUUGGGGAAAAAAUUAACACACACACACACCCCAAUUAGCAUACUAAUUGGCCAAGGACAGAAACUUACAGUUGAAUCGUAGGAAACUAAAAGUAAUACCUGUUCUCAAACAACUAAGAAAGCAUAAACAAACAAAAGCUAGAAGUUCAAUGAUUUAGGAAAUUAAAGUUAAAAUUAAUCAUAGUUAGAAAACUACUAUUUGAUACGUGGAACGAUUUUGUGUGCUACGAGUCAAUGUUUGUAGAAUUGGGCCUGGUUUGGUUCAUCUCCUCUUUCUCUGGGCUUUGCUUUUUUUUUUUAAAAACAUUAGUAAUGAAUCCCCAAAACCCCAAGCCUACAAGUAAAACUUAAUUUGGAGAAAAAAUUAGUUACAAUGGGAUAAUAUUAUUUUACUAUUAUCGGCCAUUAAUGCUAUGACACGUAUAAUAAUUUUUUCAUGUAGCAAAACGUUAUUGCCCCCGGUUUGAUGUAAGUGUUUCUCCCUCCAAUUUGACAUACAAAUCAAGAUCCCACAUUUGAAUAUUCUUGGAUUAGGCAUGUAUUAAACUUAAUGUAGAUUUGCAAAUCUAAUGCCCUCUUUGCUGUGGUCUAACGAUGCACACAAGAAUCCAAUUAUGCGAGGCUAUUGGUCCAACUAAUAAACAAAAACAUCCAGCUAAUUAAUUUCUUUUUAAAAUUAAGAGUACUUGUAUUUGAACCCAUUAUUUCUCUAUUUAUUUCCAUAUUCAUAGGAUCCAUAGGGCUAAAUAGCUGUUGUAAAGGAACAAGUCCCUUUAUUUUUUAUUUUGAAAAAAAGAUUCUCUAUCAAAUAAAAUACUUAUGAUAAGAGAAAAUCUUUUUCCACUGCCAUAAUCUAAAAGUUAAAUAUUGACAAACAAAAAAAAUCUAAAAAUCUAAAAAGUUAAAUGUUGAAUUUGAUAUUUAAUGUCAAGCUCCAUUUAUUUAUUAGAUGAAAAUUUACAUAAAAACGUGGCCUGCAGAUAAGAAAGGAGCCUCAAAUACCGCAUCAGCUCUUAUUUUAGUGUAAGAUAUUUUACUACAUACACACAUAUUAUUAUGGCCUUGUUCAAUUGCAUGCUUGCAACGACAGAUUGCCAUUACAGGAUUACACAGAUUUUAAUAUGGAUAAUAUGUCCCUGCACAAGGCCGUCCUCAUCAAAUCUUUUGUUGAAGUUGGAGUUGGCAAGUUCCUUCAAGUAGUCAACGUCUUUCUCCGAGAUCUUAGCUCUGAUUUUAGCGAGCCGUGGGUCGUUCACAUCAAUUUUUUUGUUGGAGUUGGCAAAUCCCUUCAAGUAGUCAAAGUCCUCCACAGAGAUCUUAGCUUUGAUUUUAGCGAGACGCGAUUCGUCCACAUGAUCAAAUCUGUUGUUGAAGUUGGAGUUGGAAAAUCCCUUCACCAGAGGGCCGCCUUUAGCUUUGAUUUCAUCGUCCCCACCCCUAAACCCUAAGCUGGGUUGAUUUGACGUCAUUGUCUCUCUCACCGAUUAGUUUUUAGGUUAUGGUGUGUUUGCUCUGAUGAUCAACUCAUU